RNAcentral lists this ribosomal RNA (508 nucleotides) under Sporosarcina sp. CL7.60. RNAcentral describes it as "bacterial SSU rRNA". It matches the Rfam family "Bacterial small subunit ribosomal RNA", at positions 13 to 499 of the family's 1533-position model. Lineage: Bacteria; Bacillati; Bacillota; Bacilli; Caryophanales; Caryophanaceae. The record is from RNAcentral.
UUGAUCCCUGGCUCAGGACGAACGCUGGCGGCGUGCCUAAUACAUGCAAGUCGAGCGGAAUGAUGAAGAAGCUUGCUUCUUCUGAUUUUAGCGGCGGACGGGUGAGUAACACGUGGGCAACCUACCUUGUAGAUUGGGAUAACUCCGGGAAACCGGGGCUAAUACCGAAUAAUCCAUUUUGCUUCAUGGCAAGAUGUUGAAAGGCGGCUUCGGCUGUCACUACGAGAUGGGCCCGCGGCGUAUUAGCUAGUUGGUAGGGUAAUGGCCUACCAAGGCGACGAUACGUAGCCGACCUGAGAGGGUGAUCGGCCACACUGGGACUGAGACACGGCCCAGACUCCUACGGGAGGCAGCAGUAGGGAAUCUUCCACAAUGGACGAAAGUCUGAUGGAGCAACGCCGCGUGAGUGAAGAAGGUUUUCGGAUCGUAAAACUCUGUUGUAAGGGAAGAACACGUACGAGAGUAACUGCUCGUACCUUGACGGUACCUUAUUAGAAAGCCACGGCUA